CAGCCGCCGCGGUAAUACGUAGGUGGCAAGCGUUGUCCGGAAUUAUUGGGCGUAAAGGGCUCGCAGGCGGUUUCUUAAGUCUGAUGUGAAAGCCCCCGGCUCAACCGGGGAGGGUCAUUGGAAACUGGGAAACUUGAGUGCAGAAGAGGAAAGUGGAAUUCCACGUGUAGCGGUGAAAUGCGUAGAGAUGUGGAGGAACACCAGUGGCGAAGGCGACUCUCUGGUCUGUAACUGACGCUGAGGAGCGAAAGCGUGGGGAGCGAACAGGAUUAGAUACCCCCGUAGUCCCUGUCUCUUAUAC
Molecule: ribosomal RNA, 301 nt
Filed under: uncultured bacterium
Lineage: Bacteria
Description: partial 16S ribosomal RNA
Rfam family: Bacterial small subunit ribosomal RNA
Source: RNAcentral